Molecule: non-coding RNA, 190 nt
Filed under: Oscillospiraceae bacterium
Lineage: Bacteria; Bacillati; Bacillota; Clostridia; Eubacteriales; Oscillospiraceae
Description: 6S RNA
Rfam family: 6S / SsrS RNA
About the family: E. coli 6S RNA was the first non coding RNA to be sequenced, but its function was unknown until recently. It consists of 184 nucleotides that fold into an extended hairpin structure with a large single-stranded internal bulge. The 6S RNA specifically associates with RNA polymerase holoenzyme containing the sigma70 specificity factor.
Source: RNAcentral
AAGAAACUGCUUUGAUUCGUUUGUAUGGAGUUUAUAAAUCCAACACUUUUUUAAAGGGAGCUUGAACUCUGGUUGCGGACUGCAGACCUCCUACAUCUGUAGACGAAGGGAGCGCGAACCAAUCAGGAAAGCACCCACCUGUGGUAACACGGGUUUAAUUAUUUCUGUAUGACGACAAAGCGGUUUUUUU